This 253-nucleotide ribosomal RNA is filed under the name uncultured bacterium. RNAcentral describes it as "partial 16S ribosomal RNA". It matches the Rfam family "Bacterial small subunit ribosomal RNA", at positions 524 to 776 of the family's 1533-position model. The record is from RNAcentral.
UACGAAGGGGGCUAGCGUUGUUCGGAAUUACUGGGCGUAAAGGGCGCGCAGGCGGUCCUUCAAGUCAGGCGUGAAAGCCCGGGGCUCAACUCCGGAACUGCCUUUAAGACUGCAUCGCUUGAAUCCAGGAGAGGUGAGUGGAAUUCCGAGUGUAGAGGUGAAAUUCGUAGAUAUUCGGAAGAACACCAGUGGCGAAGGCGGCUCACUGGACUGGUAUUGACGCUGAGGUGCGAAAGCGUGGGGAGCAAACAGG